RNAcentral lists this non-coding RNA (76 nucleotides) under Alkalibacter saccharofermentans. RNAcentral's name for it is "c-di-GMP sequence". It matches the Rfam family "c-di-GMP-I riboswitch aptamer". Rfam says of the family: GEMM was predicted in a large-scale screen for bacterial structured RNA regulatory elements. RNAcentral also lists the same sequence under 1 other name. Lineage: Bacteria; Bacillati; Bacillota; Clostridia; Eubacteriales; Eubacteriaceae. The record is from RNAcentral.
AAAUGAUAAUGGCAGACCUUCCGAAAGAAAGGGGCGCAAAGCUAUAGGGCCUGUAAAAUGGCAGCCAGCUACCAAA